Molecule: ribosomal RNA, 253 nt
Filed under: uncultured bacterium
Lineage: Bacteria
Description: partial 16S ribosomal RNA
Rfam family: Bacterial small subunit ribosomal RNA
Source: RNAcentral
UACAGAGGGUGCAAGCGUUGCUCGGAAUUAUUGGGCGUAAAGGGUAUGUAGGUGGUCUCAUUUGUCAGGGGUGAAAGCCUUGGGCUUAACCCAAGAAGUGCCUUUGAAACGGUGAGACUGGAGUCCUGGAGAGGGUCGUGGAAUUCCCGGUGUAGCGGUGAAAUGCGUAGAGAUCGGGAGGAACACCAGCGGCGAAGGCGGCGACCUGGACAGGUACUGACACUCAACUACGAAAGCGUGGGGAGCAAACAGG